Molecule: ribosomal RNA, 497 nt
Filed under: uncultured bacterium
Lineage: Bacteria
Description: partial 16S ribosomal RNA
Rfam family: Bacterial small subunit ribosomal RNA
Source: RNAcentral
GAUGAACGCUGGCGGCGUGCCUAAUACAUGCAAGUCGAACGAACGGACCAGAAUCUUGCUUCUCUGAUGUUAGCGGCGGACGGGUGAGUAACACGUGGAUAACCCACCUCAUAGACUGAGAUAACUUCAGGAAACGGGAGCUACUAACAGAUAAUAUUUUGAACAUCAAGGUUCAAAAGAAAAUGCCGGGCUUGCGGUUACGUAUAGAGGGUUCCGCGCUGCAUUAGCUAGUAGGUACGGUAACGGCUUACCAAGGCAACUAAGCAUAGCCGACCGCAAAGGUUGUUAGCCGACAUUGGAACUGGGACACGGACCAUGCGCCUACGAGAGGCCGCAGUAGGGAAUCUUCGGCAACAGGGGAAAGCCUGACGGAGCAGGCGCACGUGUGAGAUGAAGAUCUUCGGAUCGUAAUACACUCUUAUGAGGUGAAAACAGAUGUGUAAGGAGAUGUGGACAACGUGACGGUACCUGAUCAAAAAGCCACGGCUAACUACGUG